GACCCAGUGUGUUGAAGUGGUUUGAGCUUUGGACUACAACUCUGGAGAUCAGGGUUCAAAUCCCAGCUCAGUCA
Molecule: non-coding RNA, 74 nt
Organism: Phrynosoma platyrhinos (Desert horned lizard)
Lineage: Eukaryota; Metazoa; Chordata; Lepidosauria; Squamata; Phrynosomatidae
Source: the annotation of a GenBank genome assembly